This 460-nucleotide ribosomal RNA is filed under the name uncultured bacterium. RNAcentral's name for it is "partial 16S ribosomal RNA". It matches the Rfam family "Bacterial small subunit ribosomal RNA", at positions 338 to 795 of the family's 1533-position model. The record is from RNAcentral.
CCUACGGGAGGCAGCAGUGAGGAAUAUUGGUCAAUGGACGAGAGUCUGAACCAGCCAAGUCGCGUGAAGGAGGACUGCCCUAUGGGUUGUAAACUUCUUUUAUAUGGGAAUAAAACGUUCCACGUGUGGGAUGUUGUAUGUACCAUAUGAAUAAGGCUCGGCUAACUCCGUGCCAGCAGCCGCGGUAAUACGGAGGAUCCGAGCGUUAUCCGGAUUUAUUGGGUUUAAAGGGGGCCUAGGGGGAUUGUUAAGUUAGGUGUGAAAGUUUGCGGCUUAACCGUUAAAUUGCAGUUGAAACUGGCAGUCUUGAGUACAGUAGAGGUGGGCGGAAUUCGUGGUGUAGCGGUGAAAUGCUUAGAUAUCACGCAGAACUCCGAUUGCGAAGGCAGCUCACUGGACUGCAACUGACACUGAGGCUCGAAAGUGUGGGUAUCAAACAGGAUUAGAUACCCGUGUAGUC